AUGAUCCGGUUCAAAUUACAGGUCUUUGUCUACCCUACAUUGGUUACUGGAAAACAGGAUUUUAUCUUUCUCAAUAAUAAGAUCAGAACACCCAUGGGAAAUAAAGACCAAAAGGCCUCCAGUAUCUCUCCUGCCAUCACCCUACGCUCCACAUCAGGCUUGGAGACUUACACAGCCCUAUCAGGUAUUAUUUAUUCGCUUUCUUCAGAGGAAUCUCUUGUGAAACUAUCAGAGUCAAAAGACUAUGGAUAACUCACUUGUAAAGAUGUCACUUCUAUCCGUUUUGAUCUAUAGGUUCAAUCCAACCCCAAUCAAAAUAGAAGUUUUCGGUGCUGUUCAUCUGACAAGCUAAUUUUAAAAUCUAUAUGGAGGCAAAUAUAUAUGCAUUCUGACUUGUAUAUUCUGCAGAAUAUACAAAGAACAUCUUCAAACCAGUAAGAAAAGAAGAAUAGAUGGCAAAAUGGAAAGACAGGCAAAGGUUAAAAUAGGAUUCACAAAAGGGGGUAUCCUAAUUAUCAUCACCUAUUUGCAAGCACUGCUUAACUACCAUCAAUAAUCCCAGAAAUUCUCAUUAAAAACCACAUGAUAUAAUACGACACAAACUCUAUUAGCAAGUGUGGCUGAAGGUACAGAGAACAGGACCUCUCCUGCACUGCUGGAGGACGUGGAAUUUCUAUAACCACUUAGGAAAGUAUUCAGCAUUAUCUGCCAAAUAUGGACAUAUACAUGUCCUGUGACCAGAAUGCCCAUAGGUCCUAGUUUACACAAGGCAGACUCAACAUAUACCUAUUCUUCUGGUAUAAUGACUCCUGGUAACUCCUUUCCCUCUCAAAGUGUACUCGCUUGGAUGAUAAGUUUUAUUCUACCAGUAGCCUAGAUAUUUCACAAUGAGGUACAUACUCAACAUAAAGGUAUGCAUAUAUGGUACAAAAGACAUGAACAAGAAUGUUAACAGCAGCACUAUUCUCAAUCUCAAUAGACAAGUAUUGGCAGAAGCCCUAAUGUCCAUCACAGUAGGAUGAACAAAUAAUUCUUGGUAACUUAAUUCAAUAGAAUGUGAUUAACAGUCUCCUUUAAGCUGAUAAGGAGUCUGAAUGCAUACUAAAAUUUAUUUAUUUGCACUCUCCACAGCCCAUGUUUUGGUUUUGAUGAUAUAAUUUACAUUUUUUUAAUCUCAUGCAUCCAUUAACAAAUUAUUAUAGCUAUAUAUUUUUUUACUACUUUUGUUUCUUAACAUUCAUGUAGCUAUUAUUAGAUUAAUAAACAAUUCACCUACCACUGUUACA
This 1286-nucleotide long non-coding RNA is filed under the name Felis catus (domestic cat). RNAcentral describes it as "lncRNA (ENSFCAG00000050716.1)". Lineage: Eukaryota; Metazoa; Chordata; Mammalia; Carnivora; Felidae. The record is from RNAcentral.